CCUACGGGAGGCUGCAGUCGAGAAUCAUUCACAAUGGGGGAAACCCUGAUGGUGCGACGCCGCGUGGGGGAAUGAAGGUCUUCGGAUUGUAAACCCCUUUCAUGUGGGAGCAAAUUAAAAAGAUAGUACCACAAGAGGAAGAGACGGCCAACUCUGCGCCAGCAGCCGCGGUAAUACAGAGGUCUCAAUCGUUGUUCGGAAUCACUGGGCGUAAAGCGUGCGUAGGCUGUUUCGUAAGUCGUGUGUGAAAGGCGCGGGCUCAACCCGCGGACGGCACAUGCUACUGCGAGACUAGAGUAAAGGAGGGGGAGGCGGAAUUCUGGGUGUAGCAGUGAAAUGCGUAGAUA
This 347-nucleotide ribosomal RNA is filed under the name uncultured bacterium. RNAcentral's name for it is "partial 16S ribosomal RNA". It matches the Rfam family "Bacterial small subunit ribosomal RNA", at positions 338 to 696 of the family's 1533-position model. The record is from RNAcentral.